This 397-nucleotide ribosomal RNA is filed under the name uncultured bacterium. RNAcentral describes it as "partial 16S ribosomal RNA". It matches the Rfam family "Bacterial small subunit ribosomal RNA", at positions 523 to 918 of the family's 1533-position model. The record is from RNAcentral.
AUACGAAGGGUGCAAGCGUUACUCGGAAUUACUGGGCGUAAAGCGUGCGUAGGUGGUUGUUUAAGUCUGUCGUGAAAGCCCUGGGCUCAACCUGGGAAUGGCGAUGGAAACUGGGCGACUAGAGUGUGGCAGAGGGUAGUGGAAUUCCUGGUGUAGCAGUGAAAUGCGUAGAGAUCAGGAGGAACAUCCGUGGCGAAGGCGACUGCCUGGGCCAACACUGACACUGAGGCAAGAAAGCGUGGGGAGCAAACAGGAUUAGAUACCCUGGUAGUCCACGCCCUAAACGAUGCGAACUGGAUGUUGGGUGCAAUUUGGCACGCAGUAUCGAAGCUAACGCGUUAAGUUCGCCGCCUGGGGAGUACGGUCGCAAGACUGAAACUCAAAUGAAUUGGCGUGG